RNAcentral lists this ribosomal RNA (483 nucleotides) under uncultured bacterium. RNAcentral describes it as "partial 16S ribosomal RNA". It matches the Rfam family "Bacterial small subunit ribosomal RNA", at positions 29 to 507 of the family's 1533-position model. The record is from RNAcentral.
UUGAACGCUGGCGGCAUGCUUUACCCAUGCAAGUCGAACGGCAGCGCGGGCUUCGGCCUGGCGGCGAGUGGCGAACGGGUGAGUAAUGCAUCGGAACGUGCCCAGUAGUGGGGGAUAGCCCGGCGAAAGCCGGAUUAAUACCGCAUACGACCUGAGGGUGAAAGCGGGGGACCGAAAGGCCUCGCGCUAUUGGAGCGGCCGAUGUCGGAUUAGCUAGUUGGUGGGGUAAAGGCUUACCAAGGCGACGAUCCGUAGCUGGUCUGAGAGGACGACCAGCCACACUGGGACUGAGACACGGCCCAGACUCCUACGGGAGGCAGCAGUGGGGAAUUUUGGACAAUGGGGGCAACCCUGAUCCAGCCAUGCCGCGUGCGGGAAGAAGGCCUUCGGGUUGUAAACCGCUUUUGUUCGGGAAGAAAUCCUCUGGGCUAAUACCCCGGGGGGAUGACGGUACCGGAAGAAUAAGCACCGGCUAACUACGUG